This is a long non-coding RNA of Zonotrichia leucophrys gambelii, 471 nucleotides long. RefSeq lists it as uncharacterized. The transcript has 3 exons. The record is from RefSeq and is a predicted model, not a curated record. NCBI's taxonomy places the organism in Eukaryota, Metazoa, Chordata, Aves, Passeriformes, Passerellidae.
GGGAAGGGGAUCAGCCGGUGUCACUCCUGCAGGCUGCACGGGAUCCGGGUGUGAGGUUCUGCACGGGACAGAGCCUGAGGAGCGACAGGAGAGGUCACUACAGGUGCUUCACCCAACAGGUCUUCACCCCGAGGAAAAAGUGGAAAACCCUACUGAAGCCCUAGACACACAGAUGAAGAAGGCAGCACGACACAUGCAUUGUCAUAGUAAAACAUAUCCGCAGCAACGUAGAACAAGUCUGCAGCUUCGCUUUUAACCCCUAAACCCAAGCCAUGUCAGACAGCAGGUUGACUUUACUUUGAAUGCUCCUCCUUUUCCCUGGCUGAACAAUACAGCAGGGCUCCGCUCCCUUCCCGGGGUGGGUGACUUGCCUGGAAUUACACGCGAACAUCUGCAAGCCCUAAGGCUGGACUUUACUUCCCGAGCGCGGAGGGCGGCGGGCGCCGCGCCGCCUACCUUGGCCACCCAGCU